This 609-nucleotide long non-coding RNA is filed under the name Gallus gallus (chicken). Lineage: Eukaryota; Metazoa; Chordata; Aves; Galliformes; Phasianidae. The record is from RNAcentral.
GGAAAGGCUGUAAGAGUGAAACAGUAUUUUAAACCACUGUUGAGAAAGAAAAAAUCAGUCCUGCUAUUGUUUUCAGAUCUCCUCAGAACGAAGGCCAGAAAGUAUGUGUUAAGAACACGCUCCCAAACCAAAGAGCUAGCCAAAGCACCAGCUCUGCAGCAGCUGGCCUCAGAGACAGCAGCAUCCAUGCAUUUGGAGCCCCAGUUGAAGGCUGUAGUGAGCUCAUGCAUCUGGGAUUAAUUCUACCUCUUCUACCGUCACAGCUUUCAGAUUUCCUCUGAGGACCCAGCGGCGUGAGCACAAGAACCAUGUGCUCCCAAGUGCAUGGGGAGCAGAGCUGGAGCUGGAGCUGCUGGAUCACAGCCUGCCUGAGUCCUAGAAAGAAGUGCUAAAGCAACACAACAAGUUAAAUGGCAUUUAUAAGGGCUCCUUCCUAGCUAAAUAAUAAACACCAACACCUGGAAAUACCUGUAUUCUUCAGUGUUCUGAGUGAGUGAUUACACAGAAUCUCGAGAGGUUAACGUGUAACAAACCAACUGAUAAAUGAAAAUGUUUGUCCAACAAACUGAAGGAAAAGCAAGAUGCAAGCAGAUGCCUCAAACCUGCAGG